This 444-nucleotide ribosomal RNA is filed under the name uncultured bacterium. RNAcentral describes it as "partial 16S ribosomal RNA". It matches the Rfam family "Bacterial small subunit ribosomal RNA", at positions 354 to 796 of the family's 1533-position model. The record is from RNAcentral.
GUAGGGAAUAUUGGGCAAUGGUCGGAAGACUGACCCAGCCAUGCCGCGUGCAGGAAGACGGCCCUCUGGGUUGUAAACUGCUUUUAUCUGGGAAGAAAAAGGCCAUGCGUGGCAAAUUGCCGGUACCAGAUGAAUAAGCACCGGCUAACUCCGUGCCAGCAGCCGCGGUAAUACGGAGGGUGCAAGCGUUGUCCGGAUUUAUUGGGUUUAAAGGGUGCGUAGGCGGCUGAUUAAGUCAGCGGUGAAAGACUCCGGCUUAACCGGAGCAGUGCCGUUGAUACUGGUUAGCUUGAGUGUUGGAGGGGUACAUGGAAUUGAUGGUGUAGCGGUGAAAUGCAUAGAUACCAUCAGGAACACCGAUAGCGAAGGCAUUGUACUGGCCAACAACUGACGCUGAUGCACGAAAGUGUGGGGAUCGAACAGGAUUAGAUACCCCGGUAGUCC